UCUAUGAAGUCUUUUUUUUUUUUGCUCAUGACAGCAAUUAAUCAGAUAUGCCACUGUCUUUAUCUUAACUCAUUAUUUUUUCUUCCUAUUCAGGUGAGGAGAGGGAAUGAGAGGGCAUCUGGCUGGGCAUCUAGCAACUAAGAGGAUUGUGGAAGACAAUUGAGUAUGGAUCCUACUGUUUCCACUCUAACUACUAUGCAGAAGUUGCCAGUAUAAAAGGCCCUCAUCAUAAUUCCUGUGAUUCUGUCUGGGAAAAAAAAGAAAAAAAGGAAAGUCAAAUUCUACAUAUAGAUUUAUGUAUAUAUAUUUAUAUAUAUUACCAGCUGUUUGAGCUGAGGACAGAAUUUUGUCCCUAAAAUAGAAUAUUUCUUGCUUCCAAUGUAACUUCCUUCCAUGUAAGGAGAAAAUCAAUGCAAACUUCAGGUAUUUUUGAAGAUCACAAAGAAAUAAAGCUGGGUUUAUUAAAAUCAAUAAUAUUUAUAUUAAAAAACCUGGUAUUUGCUCUGUAGAGGUAGAAGAUCUGAACUUCUGGAUCUCUAUCAUAAAGAAAAUAGCAUUUUCCAUAUUUUUUAUGCUUAGUAUCUGUGAAAUAUAGUACAGAUUACAUGCCAAAAAAUCUGACAUAAAUUCCACUGAGACUGGUAUCUCAGUAAAGAAAGCACAAACCAGGGAUGAAUGAACAGAAACAAUAUGUUAUGAGAAAAUAAGGAGGUAAAGAGACUUGUAUAAACAAUAUCUGGACACUAUCUAAUUUACUAAACAAUCUUUCACUGUAAUUGAUUAGAAAAUUAGAAAUUCUCAUCAAACUCACAUUUUUCACAAGUUUAAUAUAUACAUGUAUGAGGAAUACUUCAACCUAACAGAUUUAAUUACACCAGACAUUAUACUGUUUAUCAUUAUGUUUGGAGAGCAUACAAUAGCCACAUACCUAUGUUUGAAUUUGCCAUUGUAAACUAGCAUGAAAUGCGUAUACUGUAUUAUGGAAAAGUUGUGAGCUUCCUGGGAUGAAAGAGCAGUCAUUCCUUAAAUUCAGAGGACGUUGUUGAUCUGGAGUAAAUUGUGAUGAUUAAAAUGUUUUAAAUAAAAAUCUCAUAAACAUAUAUAUUUUAAAUUAAGACCAUCGUUAUUAAGGGAAAUACACUUAUGAAAGGAUUUAAGUCCUUGUAAAGCUCCAUCGGACCAUGAUUGCUGUCCUGAAAGCAUAUUAAAAUUCCUCUGCUCAACAACUAUACAGUUGGGAUCUCUCACUGAAGCUGCAUGUCAAUAGCCAAAUGUUUCCUCCCAUACCUGUUGAAGUGUUGUGCUUUGCAUCAGUGCUUAGCAACGGUCUUUGCCUUAAGGCACAGUUGCUCUUGUUUCAUGCAUAUGUGUUUUGUCUGUUACCAACACCUAUCAUGACUGAAUGAUGUUCUAAAAAUCCUAAAUAAGAAAUAUUGAUAGUAAUGUUUAUGGCAGUUACUGCUCAAAAUAAACUACUUCAACAUUGGAAAAUUGAAGGCUAACAUUUUUGAAUACGUUUCAAGCUCUCAAGUUCUAUAUAUUUGUGAAAGCAAAAUAAAUAAAUAUAAAAUUUCAAUAAAAAGAAUAAGAGUAUGGAAACAAGGAAUGUUUGUUUAUACAUGUAAAAGAGUUUGACUGUUUCCACAGUUGUGAAGAAAGAUACCAGAAGAAUGAAUGAAAGUGAUUCUUUGACUUAGCCUAGGAAAAUGAAUAUUGAUAGGUGAUAUGAUCAUCUGUAAUGAACACAAUCUCAGAUUGAAUACUAGUGAGAGAGAAGAAUACGUAAUGUGAAAGAUAAUGUUAGUUCAAACAGAAUAGAUGGAAAUAAAAUCUGCAUGUCUUUGAACAAGAAAUUGUGAAGAUGUUUAAAAUCAUGAGUGGUUUAAUAUUUGUAAUGCUGUUGAAAGAGUAUUUAUUUAUUUAUUUGUUUUCCAGAGUACAGUGAUUAAGGCCAUUGAAACAAAGAACAUUCAUGAGCCUAAAAGAUUUUUGUUUUCUAUGUUAGUCCACAGAGAGAAAUCUAGGAGUGCUGGCAAUUCACUAUCUGCUGAAGCACAUAAAAUUGGCCUCAGGUAUCAAAAAAACUGUUGUACAAAUUACAUUUGUCAUUAUAAUAGUUUUGAGAAACCUGUAGGGCAGCUGGCCUUUCUCACCUGUCUGAGAUCACAAGAUUAGUUCUAUCACCAGAAAUAACUUUCUCUAAGGUCAGAUUGUCACACAAUUAACUCAUUAUUAUUACUUAAUACAUUUCUUGUCAGCAUUAUUUUUUAUUUUAUUCCUAUUUUAUUCCUAUUGUUUUCCUGUGAUAGCUAUUUUUAGGUUUCUGAUCUUAUAUAAAAAUUUUAAAUAGCUUGAAUUCACAAGCUUUAGAAAAAGAGGAUAAACAACUGUGCUGGGAGGCAUUCAAGGUCAGGUUGUAUUGGGGCAGUGGACAACCUGAUUCAGUGGGUAGCAACCCUACUCAUGGUGAAGGAUCUGGAGCCAGAUGAUUUUUAAGGUCCCUUUAAAUCCAGUUCAUUAUAUGAUUAUAUGAUGCUUUUGAUCAACACAGUGCACAGUAUAUAGAUGGUCCUGGGUUAUUACAGAGAACAAAACUAAUUGAUCACAAAAUGUCCUUAGAUUAAAAUACUCUUAAGCACAUCCAAGAAUUGUCUGGAAAUAUGUGUAGAGGGCUCAGGAAAAAAACUGUAAUUUAAAAUCUUAACAAAAGGUAUGAUUUAAUUUCAGUGUCUCCAAAAAUGUUUCUUGACUCUCUUUAGCAUAUUAAUACAAUCAUAGAUGCAUUCUUCUACUCUUUGGUUUACCACACUUGAUGAUUGCAAAGGUUUUGCAAGAGAGUAAUCAUUCAGAAUUUCAGUCUUCAUUGAAAAGAGUGCAGUAAGGAACAUCAAAAUAAAAAUUAGAGUGUAUCUGAUGCAGCUGGAAAAGAGAUGUUCAAAGGAGUACUAACCAGUGCUCUUAGUUUUCAAAGAGUUUGAAACAAUAGAUUAACAUUAAUAUUAAUUAGUCCAUUAAUUUUAAAAGAUUAAUUUACGUAGCUGGUACAUAUAAAUACUGUACCUACAGAGUAAAAAAUGUAAUCAAAAAGGUAAAUGAACUACUAUACAAAACAUGAUGCAGAUUUUUUAGACAUCUAUUUAAACUCAGGAAGUUAAUUGAAGGUUAGAUUAUCUUUCAAAAUCUGUUUUCAUCUGAGAAUUACAAACUUACCUAACAGGACAGUAUUUUAUUCCAGACAGCUGUUAUAUGAGUUGUAAUGUUAAAGAACCCAAAUUACAUUUUUGUAGACUGACUUUUUCUUUUCUAGAGCAGUUCUAGUUCACUUCUCUAUGGGAUUUUAUCUGUGAGCAAACUACCCUUAUACUGGAAAUCCAAUCCAGCAAAGAAUUGUGUAUUAAAUAUUUGACCCAAAUAAACAUCAGAAAUUCAUAACAAAGGGAAUAGAAGUUUUCUCUACUAAGCCUUUCCAGUUCUCUCCACCAUCCCACUGAAGGGAAGUAAACAAGCAAUAGAGUGAGGGUUUACAAGCCAGAUGGGGUGAAUUCACUACAUUUGUAAAUCACUAACUGAAGGAAAUUUCCUCGUGACUGUUCAAGAAAAUUGCAAGUGUCUGCUCUGAGAUCAUUUUACAAAGAGUCACAAAGAGAUUGCAUCUGCUCUUUCAGAAGUACCAGAAAGCCCUAUAAAUCUUAAAGUGAAUGAGAACGCUGUCAGUGAUCAGAACUGUGAGAUGCUGCAAGUGCUACUUGUCUGUCUAUCUGUAUGUCUGCUUAUGUCAGAAAUAAAGUGAGAUGAGGAAAACAUAGAUAUCUUGGGAUAUUUAGAUGAGAGAGAAUUUUCUAUUUGCAUGAAAAGUAUUUUAGGUAUUUUGAUUCUGCCGUCAUUAAAAUCAUUCUAGCUUGUAACAAGUCUGUUACUCUCUGAAAACAGAAUCAUAGAAUCCUCUGAAUUGGAAUAGACCUUUAAAGAUCACCUAGUCCAACUCCUGUGCAAUGAACAGGGACAUCAACAGCUAGAUCAUAUUGCCAGAGCAGAGAGCUGUAUUCAAUUUUGUGAUUGAAUGCAGCAUACUUUAUAAGAGAUUGCAUCUCUGGCUACUGAAACAGCUACAGAAAUGCAGUACUCUCCUAAUUACAAAAAAACCUCAUCUCCUGCAUGGACAUUUCACAGAGUAAAAUGCUAUCUGGAAAUCAAAAAAAAAAAAAAAAAAAAGAUUCUUCAUCUUUCUUUCCUACAUAAAAUAGAUGAUGAAGAUUAGUAGUGAAUUUUCAUACUUAAAUUGGGAUAGAUAUGUUUAUACACUAAAAUUAAUGUCAAUAUCAUAUUAAAAUAGCUGGACACUUACUGCAACAGUUAUGUGUUUAAGAGAUUUUCAUCACAACACAAUUGCCUUCGUUGAGUGCAAACUUUUUACAUUUUGUCUAAAUUCCUGCCAGUAAGCAUAGGUCUUCCCAAAGGUUUCCUACGUGUUUUAUAAUCCACAGUAUUUUUAAUGGCACAUUUUUAAAAAUUUUGCUUUCUUUUUUCUAUUUUCGUUUAGAGGAGCCUAAGCACAGAAAUAACCACCAAUAUUUACUACUCAGCAAUUCUUGAUUAUGCCAACAUCCUUUGGGGGAGCAUUGAUUUUAUCUUCUUCCCAGAAACCUGCAGGCAAUUGUGUACCUAAAAUUUAAUUUGUGUUUAAAGACAGAAAGCAAGGAAAAGCAACAGUACUGGUGUUGCAAAACCAUUUGGCUUGGGAGAGUUUGCCUAUAAAGUUACAGAGAAAAUCAUGCUAAUUUGACUUGUGUUCACCAAAAUUGAGAUUACUGUGGGGUCUCUCUCCUUGAAGAUAUCCAAAAGCCUCCUGGUCAUAGAAUCAUAGAAUCAUUUGAGUUAGAAGAGGCCUUUAAAUGUCAUCUAAUCCCUCCAGUUUGCUAAGAGCCCCGACCAGCCUGACCUUGAAUAUCUCCAGGGACAGGACAUCUACUACCUCUCUGGGCAACCUGUUCCAGUGCUUCACCAACCUUAUUGUAAAAAACUUUUUUCUUUAUAUCCAAUCUAAAUCUCCCCUCUUUUAGUUUGAAACCAUUUCCCCUUGUCCUAUCACUACAGAUCCUGCUAAAGAGCCUGUCCCCUUCUUCCUUAUAAUCUUCUCUUUAGAUACCAAACAGCCACUAUCAGAUCUUCCCGUAACCUUCUCUUCUCCAGGCUGUAUAGCCCCGGCACUCUCAGCCUGUCCUCACAGGAGAUGUGUUUCAUCAUCUGGAUCAUUUCUGCAGCCUUCCUUGGCCAAUGUGACAAUGAUUAUUCAAGCAUUUUGCUGAAAUAAUCGUUAAAGUUACAAGAUAUAUUUUCAAUACAAUAGUCCUAUUUUACACUGUUCUAGUUGUUUCUUUUUUUUUUUUCAAUAAAAUUAUGAUCUUAUUUUAUUUAAGAAAAGAGCUCAUUAACAUUUAUGAAAGGAUUAUCUGGUGCCUGUUUUCUUCAGCAGUUUCCACUGCAUAAAACUUGAUCAUAAUUUCUGACUUGUAAUUAGUGCUGUCAUUAACCUGCUCAUGCUGUUAAUCCCAAUAAGUUUUUAAAAUUUUAUGAUUUGAAAAAUGGAAAAAUGUUCAAAACUACACCAGCAAGAAAUCAUUUUACCUAGCUUUAUCAUAGUAUGCAAAAGAUACCAAAGUGAGCCUAAAAUUAUUGUGUUAUUAUGCAGUCCUUCCAACAUGACACUGGAAGAUUAGGAAGCAUUGACCUGACUGAGAGCUCAAAUAAGUAUUGAGUAGGAACAGAUCAGCAAAGAUAAAGACAAUCUUACAUGUCUUUUUUUUUUUUUUCUUUUUUUUUCAAUCUUGUCAAUCUUGUUAUAUGUUCUCUAAUGCCCUGUGGAAUUUUUCUCCUAUUUGUUAACUCUGAAUAUUGUGUUGGUCACAUUAUUUCAAAAGUAAUUCCAUUAUGUCAAAUUACAUUAUUUCUCAAACUAUUCUAUGUGUUGCUUAAUGUUUUUUGUCUAUAUCUACUCUACUGACAUGCUUUUUAAAACAGGUAACAUUUUACUAAGAAACGUCACUAAAUUUAGAUUGCCUCAUCUCAAAUUACCAUUUAUUAUCUUAUACAAUUAGUUCAGAAUUCUCUUGCACUAUGAUUAAUUUUCCUUCAGUUCUUCAGAAUAGAAAGGAAUAUUGGAAAAACAAUACCAAAAAUAUCCUAAAAAUAUCAUUCCCACACACCUCUCUAUACUCUUUUGACUCUAUAGAAAAUUUCAUAGUGUAUAAUCUUUUCCAAGAGAAGCAUUUUCCAAGAGAAAAAAUUUUCUUCCAGAAAUAUGUUGAAUUAUAGAAGUUUUAUUUUGAGGUUAAAGAGGUAGCAUAUAUGUGCAUGUAUACAUAUAUAAAUAAUGAAUAAAUUCCAAUGUGUAUUCAAAUUUUGAAUCAGCAAAAAAAUGCGGAGGAUUUCCAUUACUUGAUAAGCAACAAAAAGAACACUGGAAAGAUACAAAAUUACAGGGAAGUUACCAAACUUUAAGAAGAACUUCAUCAGUAUGGACAGCAAAAGACAAGAGAAACUUUGACAAGGAAGAUAUGAGAAUAGGAGGGGAAAGAUUUUAAUACCUUUUCAAUGAACCAUUGGAAGAUGUCUACCUACCAGACUACCUUGAAUCUUAUUUAUCAGUAGGAGAAAUUACAGGCUCAAAUGUGUUUUAUUUAUCCCUAAAAUACUGAAAAGGAAAUUCUCAUUUGAUUUACUACUUUUCUAACUUAAUGGGUUCCUCCUAACAUUUAAGAAAAAAAAAAAAUAAUAAUCCAUUUUGAAGAAGCUAAAAGCCUGGAAAAGAUAAUGAAAGGCUGUAAUUAUUUUAUGUCUUUAUGAAAGUUCCUCAGAGGUUGUAUCUAUUAUGUCAUAUAUGACUUCUACUGGGAGAACUUACAAAUUACAUGCACUAGUCAGCUUUACACCACAAAAGUUAUUUACCGUAAGAAACAGCUCAGGAGUCUUCAAAGCCUUUAAAAAGGUCUUCAUAUGUUCACAUGUUAAGAGAACUCCCCAACUAUUCUACAAUUUUUUUCAAAAUUAUAUUUGUUGAGCUAUACAUAAAAGUUCCAUAUUAAAGUGUGAUUAGAUUUUAAGAGGUGUUUAAUGAUAGUUCUGUGUUUAAUAAGUCAAUAUAAAUGUAUUCAUGUAACAACAGUCUAAAAUUCCUCACUUGUAUUUUGACAGAUAUUCAUGGAAAAAGGAAAAAGGAUCUUCAGACAGUUUGGAAAAAAAGUUAUGUAAUUUAAGUGUCAUUCUCUGAUGAACUUGUCUUGCAACUCAACUGAAAUAAUGCUGAAUUCAUUUUAAAAAGUAAUUUUUAAGCUAUUUCAUCUUCAACACUAACAAUUUAUUCCUGCCCAGCCCCAUGGAUUCAUUAAAGUUCAGAUAGUUAGGAGGUCUCUUAUAACAAGAAGGACUUCCUAUAAAGGAUAUAGAAGGAAAGAAAUCACCGCUUUCAAUUUUGUUAUUGAAACAGAACUGUAAAGGUGGAUUCUGCCCAGUGAGGCCUCUCCAGCUGAGAGGUUUAAAUAACUGAGAGACAUGAAAUUAAAGACACUUUUAUCUCCUUAGUAUAUUCCUAUGAGCUAGAUUUGAUACAUUCUUUGGUUAGAGUCCUGCUUAUGUUAGUAUGCUGAAACAUGUAGCUGUUAUGCUAUCUUUAGGAAACUUAGACACAAGCACCUAUCAGGAUUUUCCUUUUAAGGCUGUAUUCAAUCCACAGCUAUCUACAUGUUAUAUGCUUACUUACCUAUUUACCUACCAAUCAUGUGCUAAAAACCUGGGAAAAUAAAAAGGAAAUAAUGCAGAGAA
Long non-coding RNA from Numida meleagris (helmeted guineafowl), 7818 nucleotides. RefSeq lists it as uncharacterized. NCBI's taxonomy places the organism in Eukaryota, Metazoa, Chordata, Aves, Galliformes, Numididae. The record is from RefSeq and is a predicted model, not a curated record. The transcript is spliced from 3 exons.